RNAcentral lists this unclassified non-coding RNA (245 nucleotides) under rhizosphere metagenome. Its description in RNAcentral is "partial ribosomal RNA internal transcribed spacer region". The record is from RNAcentral.
GUAGGUGAACCUGCGGAAGGAUCAUUAUCGAGUUAGGGUUCCUUUACGGGCCCGACCUCCAACCCGGUGUCUAAACUUACCACUGUUGCUUCGGCGGGCCCGCCUGUAAAAGGGCCGCCGGGGGUGCCCGUCACCUCUGGCCCGCGCCCGUCGAUAGCCCACAACAAACUCUUUUAAACCGUGUCCUGUCUGAAUAAACCAAAAAAUUAAGCACAAAACUUUCAACAACGGAUCUCUUGGUUCUG